This 434-nucleotide unclassified non-coding RNA is filed under the name soil metagenome. Its description in RNAcentral is "partial contains 5.8S ribosomal RNA, internal transcribed spacer 2, and large subunit ribosomal RNA". The stretch from base 1 to 120 matches the Rfam family "5.8S ribosomal RNA", at positions 35 to 154 of the family's 154-position model. The record is from RNAcentral.
GAUGAAGAACGUAGCGAAAUGCGAUACGUAAUGUGAAUUGCAGAAUUCAGUGAAUCAUCGAAUCUUUGAACGCAUAUUGCGCUCUUUGGUAUUCCGAAGAGCAUGCUUGUUUGAGUAUCAGUAAACACCUCAAAGCUUUUGGAUUUUUUAAUCGAAAAGCUUUGGACUUGAGCAAUCCCAACACCAAUCUUUUUGAGAUCGGUGGCGGGUUGCUUGAAAUGCAGGUGCAGCUGGACAUUCUCCUGAGCUAAAAGCAUAUUCAUUUAGUCCCGUCAAACGGAUUAUUACUUUUGCUGCAGCUAACAUAAAGGGAGUUUGACCGUAUUGGCUGACUGAUGCAGGAUUUCACAAGGGUCAGCAACGAUUCUUGUUAAACUCGAUCUCAAAUCAAGUAAGACUACCCGCUGAACUUAAGCAUAUCAAUAAGCGGAGGA